Pelmatolapia mariae (spotted tilapia) is the source of this 1762-nucleotide long non-coding RNA. RefSeq lists it as uncharacterized. The transcript has 3 exons. Lineage: Eukaryota; Metazoa; Chordata; Actinopteri; Cichliformes; Cichlidae. The record is from RefSeq and is a predicted model, not a curated record.
CGCGCAUCACUAGAUGAUGGCAUAAUCGUGCGCCGGAUGUGUUGCCAUUCCCCGCACAAGCCGUGAGUGCUGAUGUGUUUCAAGAGUCUGGACGGCACACGGGUUUAAUGCAGUAACGAGCAGAGCGGCAGCGGCGGCUCGGAGGUCGAUGUCCAAGAAGACGGCAGCGGAGGAGAGCAGCAGCAGCACCGGUCCGGAGAGCGAAUGGCGAAGUUCUCUGAUGACUCUGCUAUAGUCGGCCUCAUCACUGAUGGGGACGACAGGGAGUACAGAGAACUGACCCAAGACUCUGAGGACUGGUGCCAGCAGAACUACCUCCAGAUCAACACUAGAAAAACCAAGGAGCUGGUGUUAGACUUCUGCAGGCACAAACAUCCUCCACUGCAACCACUAAACAACAUUCAAGGAAAGGACAGAGCAGGCUGUACCUGCUGCGGAGGCUCAGGUCUUUUGGAGUGAAGGGCCCACUCCUGAAGACCUUCUAUGACUCUGUGGUGGCCUCAGCCAUCUUUUACGGUGUGGUCUGCUGGGGCGGCAGCAUCUCUGCUGGGGACAGGAAGAGACUGGAGGGCCAGCUCUGUUCUAGGAUGCUCUCUGGACCCAGUGGAGGUGCUGAGUGACAGGAGAAUGGUGGCUAAGCUGUCAUUUCUGUUGUGCAACAUCUCCCACCCCAUGUAGGAGACCCUGACAGCACUGUGGCAUUUUAAACUAUUACAUAAAAUUCUAGAAAAAAAAAUCAUAUAUCCUUACCCCAUAAAAACCAAAUACAAUAUUUGAACAGCAAAACUAUUGUAAACAUCGUUUCUGCUUUAAAUGUAUUUAUUCAUUUAUUUAUUUCUUUAGUGCAACUUCUAGAAAUGGCCAGCAGAUGGAACCCCGUGUCCAUGGUUCGCAACUCACUUUCAACUACAGAAAGGAGGUUUGGCACUCUAAGAAUCCAAAUUAGUCGGAGAAUUUAGGAACAGCUAGGCUGGUGGAAGAAUAACUUCCAAAGAGAAAAAUAAAACAUUUGGGGGAAAGUUCAUCCAACUAUUAAAGUCGUGUUUUUUUGUUUUUGUUUUGUUUGUUUUUUUAGCAAAUUUGACACUCACUUGCCACUUUAUUGGUAUAAUAUCUGUUCAACUGCUCAUUAAUGUAACAUCUAAUGACCUAAACAUAGGCCAGCAAAGGCAAAGACAACCUGCUGAAAUUCAAACUGAGUAUCAGUAUGAUGAAAAAAGAUGAUUUAAGUGAGUGAACCUGGCAUAACUAUUGGUGCUGGAGGGGCUGGUUAGAGUAUUUCAGAAACUGCUGAUCUAAUGGGAUUGACAAAGAAUGGCCUGAAAAAGAGAAAAUAUCCAAUGAGCAGCAGUUCUCCGGACAAAAAUGUAGACCACUUGUUAAAGCCAAGGUAUGCAGAAGAGCAUCUGUGGACACACAACAUGUCGAACCUUGAAGAUGUGCUACAGCAGCAGAAGACCACACCGAGUGCCACAGGAAACCAAGGCUGUAGUUCACAUGGACUCACUAACUGAACAACAGAAGAGUGGAAACGAGUCUGAUCUCAGGAGUCUCUAUUUCUGCUGCAAUGGAUGAACCAAUCUGUGUGACACUAUCACAUCAACAUGAACCAAAAUCUCAGAGAAAUGUUUCCAGCACCUUGUUGAAUCUGUGCCAUGAAGAAUUAAAGACGCUCUGAAAGUAAGAGGGUCCAACCCAGUGCUGGUGAAAUGUAUCUAAUAAAGUGGCUGGUGAGUGAAUGUGAUGUUUUUUUAAUAAAAAA